ACAGGCGCCAGGCGCUCCGGCCGCAAGGGAGCAGGGAGCCCUGCCAGCUGGGCCACCCGAGGGGCGUUGCGGGGCUCCGGGCGGGGUCGACCCGGGGGGCUCCGUCGGGCCCCACCAGCCUUGCGCCUUUUUCGCUCGGUCUCCUUGGCCUCCCGCUCCUGCGACGCCGCUUUCCUUUUCUCUUGCUCCCGAGCUCGGACCUCGGCCAGGGGCCCCGCCCGCCAGUUGGUCGCCUCCUGCAGCACCCUGGAGGCCCAGGGCCGGCGGGGCGGCGGCUGUGGGGAUCCCGGGCGCGGCCCACACCUGGGACAAUGAGCAGGAACCCAGGUGAGCAGUUUGUGGGGGAAGGGAGCCGAGGUCCGGGGAGCUGGGAGCACUGGAGACCACUUGGGGCAGCCAUGUGAAGGGGUGUGUGUGAGUGUGUGCGCGUGUGCACGUGCGUAUAUGUUAGGACUGAAGUCGAAGCGGGACUCCUCGCCAUCUCUCCAUGCACACUUUAACAGCGUCUGCCCCAUCUCACCUCCUGCCCUUUCUCACACCCACUUCUGUUCCCCCAAACAACGGGAUGAGUCAGGCCCCAGCCCUCGGGAGCGGGCAGAGGUGGAAGGCGUGGGAAAGAGAAGGGGGACCAGCAGUGCUCGCUGGUGCCUGCGGGGAGGUCCGGACCCCACUCCCCGCCCCACCACUCUCUUCCCCUCACCCCUGCUUCACUCACGUGCGGUUCUGGAACCCGCGAGCCCAGUGGCUGGCCUGGAAGUCCAUGGGCUGUCGAGAAGGGGCGCGGCGACUAUAAUGACAGGAAAUAGUCUUCACUUCUAUCACCAAUAGCUUGGACUUCUGCACCCAGAGGCAGCUGCCAGACUCCUCAUCCUGGAGCUCCCGGGGGCUGUCAGGCCCCUCGGAGAACAGUGGGCCAUCCAGCAUCCUGCCCCACCCCACCCCGGCCCCCCACCCUCCCACCCGCCCCAGGAGCCCCCUCCCAGCCCAGGGAGCCGGCGCCCACUGCAGAGCCGCGGGCCCGGGGACUGGGAACUAUAUAUACCCGGGCACACGUGUGUGUGCCUGUCUCUGUGUGUGCGCGCGCAUGUGACACCGCGCGGACUGCUCCGCGCUGCUACCUCCCCCAUGUGCACGGCCGCCCCCUGGGGCCCGGGAUUGGACGCCCCUUCCCACUGCUGUUGUCCCCCAAGCCUGAUGGGAUCGCACGAGUGGGCGGGGGAGGGACUUAUGAUUCUUGCCAAGCUGACAGUGCCCCCUCCCCCGCCCCUAUUUCUUCAACCUUCCUGCCGUUUUAACCCUUUACUCUCCUGCUUGUCAGGUUGCCUGACCACCAGGGUUCUGCCCCUGGCUUCCUGCCUCAGAUUUCAGUUUCCCCAACAUAGAGUGAUGAGAUUGGAACUCAAGGUCUCUGCCUGCCACUCUGCUGGUUUCCAUGGGGCUGGGGUGCAGGAGGGGCUGGCCCACGGCUGGGGGGCUAUUUUUAGCGGCAGUGGCUGUUCGGGUGCAGAGAUGAGAUGAGUAACCAGCUCCCAUGCGGUGGAGAGAGGAGGCGGUGGCUUUUACCAAGCUUUUGUGCGACUCUGAGGGAGAGCUGCCUUCCCUAAGCUCAAAAAGGGUGACCCCUACACCCGUAUCUCCUUGUCAGCUCAGUGCUGCAGCCUAGGACUGCUGGUACAGCAGGACACAGGCGUCUGCCUUGGCCACCCAAGCUGCCCUACCAGUUCCAUUCUACAUGUUUGUCCUUGGGCAGCCAGGGAGCCCUCCCACAGCAGCAGGCUUUCACCUCCAAUCCAGAAGCCAGGAUUUGGGGGUUAUAUUGUUCUGUGCCCACACAGCCUGCCCAGCUUUAUGGAGGACAGAGUAAGUGCUUAUGCACUCUCACCCUUCCAGAGGGGGAUGGAGGAGAAAUGAUGUGUUUGCUUGGCAAAACUAAUCCCCUAGCAACUGAAAUGAUAAAAGUGGCCUUUAUUUUUUUCAAUGUAGAACUCCCCCUCACCACCACCACAAUGCCUAGUUCACUCAGUCCCCACCUUAAGUGGUGCUCCAGAUGCUCACCUUUUGGGCUGCCUCUGUCCUGGGGGGCUGUUGCUUAUAUCCACAUGAUCCCUCCUCCUAAGCUUAUACCAGGUGUCCCCUGAUUCACCAUGGUAAUGUUAGUGGCAGCACAGCCCACGCCAACCCUUCCAUGCAGAGACUUAGCAACCAUGCCUGGCAACCAUGGCAGCAGCUUCAGUGGAGGGGAGCAGUGCAGAGAGAGGGGAGAGUGUGUGGGGCAUGGUUCCUCGGGAAGAAGGGAUAAUUUGCCUCUCUGGAGAGGAAUAGGUAAGAAUAGAAGCUUGUGAGUCUCCCAAAUUUCAUCCCUUGUCUCUCCCUCAGCUUCAUCCUCACACUGAGACGGAUAGGUUGGGUUUUAGAGGGAAAUGGGAGAAGCAAGAGUUCCCAAUUAGUUUUCCACUAAUGUACAUGGAGCCCUUUGGGUCCAGACCCUUCCUUUUAAGGGGAUGGGGAACAACCAGAAAGGUUGUGGGGCAGAGACUGACAGACUGAGAAACAACUCAACAAAACCAGGUCUCUGCUCCCUAACACAAACCUUUAGAGAGAACGCAAACAUCCCGUCCCAUCCACCCUACCCCCCUUGAUUCCACACACCUGCCAGCUGCACUGAUGACUUGACUCGAAGAUGCUUCCUUCCACCCUAGGUCCCACUAGAGUCCUGAGGCUUUUUAAAGCCCUUGCCUCCUCCCUAGGCAAAUCUUCCUUAAUGAGGGAAUGUGACAUAAGGGGCCAUCUGUCCUUUCCACCAUGUGCUUACCCUCCUGACACAUAAACAUACUCUAAUUCUAAUAACUUGGAAGCCUUCCUCCCCCAAGGUUGAGAAUGUGCUGUGAGAGCUGUAAAGGGGUGAAGGCAGAAGCAGGGGCUCCUCCACAGCCAUGAUGCAACACUGAAAGCUGAGCUCUGAUGAGGGCCACCUUCUUUUUUUAAAAUAAGCUUCCUCAGGUCGAAUCUGAUGAGGGCCUUGAUGCUUUUCCCUGUGUUCCAUCAGGAGAACCCAGUAUGCCCUGGCUGGAGGGUUAUCAGAGGGGUUAGGCACUGUGGGGCAGGGGCAAGGAAUGACUCCGAAAUUGCUCCUGGCUUGGAUGGGAAACUGUAUCAUACCUGCAAGGCUGGGGUGAGCUGGCACCCAAAUUUAGCUCAUACUCCAGUCUAGCAGUUCUUCUGAUGUUGGGUGCUGACUGCUGUUUGGGUCUACAUGCUUUCAAUACAGGGAAUGGAUCUGAUGGAGUGACCACUGCCCUGCUGUUCUCCCACCAUCCAGCUCAUUCUCACCUUGGAAGAGGCAAGGGAUUUGUAGGUUUAAAGAUAGUGCUGGCCGGGUGCGGUGGCUCAUGCCUGUAAUCCCAGCACUUUGGGAGGCUGAGGCAGGUAGAUCACAAGGUCAGGAGUUCGAGACCAGCCUGGCCAAUAUGGGUGAAACUCCGUCUUUACUAAAAAAUACAAAAAUUAGCUGGGCGUGGUGGCGCGCGCCUGUAGUCCCAGCUACUCAGGAGGCUGAGGCAGGAGAAUCACUUGAACCCGGGAGACGGAGGUUGCAGUGAGCUGAGAUUGCGCCAUUGCACUCCAACCUGGGCAACAGAGUGAGAUUCCAUCUCAAAAAAAAAAAAAAAAAAAAAAAAAAAGAUAGUGCCAACUCAGCAAAAGCCAAACAGUCCAACCUUCCCCAACUAAGAAAAGCUGAUAAUGGUGGCAGGAUUCUCUGCCCAAAGGAGACCCUCAAGUCUGUCUACUCGUGUGUGUGUACGUGUGUGUGUGCGUACACACGUUAUUAUUAUUGUUAAUGACCAGUUGAAGAAGCCAUAUAAAGUAGGAAGGUAGUACCCAUCAACUGUAAAAAUCAAACACUGCAAUAUCGUGAAGAGAUUCCUGUCAUUUAAUUAGAUUUGCCACAAAAAGCAAUAACCUUAGCUAACCACGCUGCUCUCCUCCUCCACCUAACCCCCAUCUCCCUUCAUAUGCACAAACACAGGAACCCAAAGCCCCUCCUCCCCACAAUCCUCCCCACUCACAUUAUGGGAAGAAAUGUCACUAAAUGGACUUGGCCUCCUCCAUAUAGCACGGAACAGGUGAAUAAAAAUAUCUUUAUGAAGAAUUUUGUUGUGCUAUUAUCUUAGGGUUGAAUCAGGGCCAAGAUGGAGGCAGAGGCAAGUGAGGUCUGGGGAUCUCUUAGAGAUCAGAAUUUGUCUGAGAGGCACAGAGCCUAUAGUUCACCCAGAAAGGGGGAUAUAUCUAAGAGGACAGGGGCUAGAACUGGCUAGGCUGAAAGUUUUUUCAAGUGUAUGUGUGAGGGUAAGGGUAGCUAUAAAUCCAUUCUCUUUCCUCCCCCAUACCUUCCCUAGCUCCCAGAUAGAAGGGCAGGGGACCCUGAACAGGGAACAGAGUCACAAUUCCCUCAAGUUUCAUCUGAUUCCCACAGAGCUUCCAGCAGGCAGUGAGUUGGGCAUAUCCCCUGGUGCUGCAUGACCCCUUCCCCCAGCUCAGGGCUUCUUCUCUCCACCUGUGAGCACCAGGGCCUGCAGGAUGUCAGACAGUGAUACAAUUCCCUUGACCACAUCAUUUUCAUCCACCACUACAAGUCGGUGAACCUGGCACAGAGCAACAAGGGAGAAAGGGAAUGUUUAGUGCUGGCCUCAGGGGAAGCCCCUCUGCCCCUACUCUCCUUGCCAAACCCCACUCUCAAGGCUGCUCCCCUCAGCUCCUUUAGGGUUGCUGGCCUCCCUACCUCUGCUUCCACUAGCCUGUUGAUGAUGGUCUCCAGAGUCUCAUGCAGGUAGCACUUGAGAACACCCUCAAAGUAAUGUGAUCGAUGUUGCAAGGCUUUAGUCACAGAUACAUCUAGGUUGUUGUAGGUCUUUUCUGCUGCCAGAUUCUGGGGAGACAGAGGAAGGAGCUUGCAGGGAAGCAAGAGAGCCAGCCUCCAAACCCUGAACCCAUCCAACCUCAACAGAGGGAUUCAGGGCAAUUGUCAGCCACAAGCCACACCCAACUCAUUCAAUUCCUUUUCAAAUAGGAUUUGAAAGCCUGGAAGCUUCUAAGACCCUUAGAUCACAGAAGAGACUCCCUUCUCCCUCUCCAUAUUUAACAGUGCCCCCCCCCCACCACUUCCCUACCUCCCAGACCCUCCACAAUCACUCACGAUAACAUCAAACUUGGAGUAGAUGUCCACCACACGCCCUAGGGGGACAGAGGCAGCUCAGUAAGGAGGAUCUGGGAUCUAAAGCUCCCCCUACUCAUAGAAUCACCCUCCUGGCUAAGCUGAGGGGAAAGCAGAUCUUCCCAGAGCCACCCUGACUUGCCUGGAUCUUCCCUCCCUCUCCUUCUGCCCAAUCUCUCACCCUUCUCAUCCACCACUGGCAGGGCUGAGACUCGAUGCUGUACAAAAAUCCCCAGAGCCACAUAGACGGGGGUGGUAGUGCGAACCAUAGCAAUAUUGGCAUAGGUGCCAAUCUGUAGCUCUUCCAGAGACUUGGACAUGAACUCUGGCUUGGGGAACUCAGUGAUCUGAGGAAAGAACCAUCAGCUUAACUUUCAAGGCACCCAAAGCCACCCUUGGAUACCCCCUCCAACCCAGUAUAUUAGAAAUAAGGGCUGGGUGCGCCGGCUUAUGCCUAUAAUCCCAGCACUUUGGGAGGCUGAGGGGGACAUAUUGCUUGAGCCCAGGAGUUCGAGACCAGCCUGGGCAACAUGGCAAAACCCUAUCUCUAUAAAAAAUACCAAAAAAUUAGCCAGGUGUGGUGGUACACACGUGUAGUCCCAGCUCUUCUGGGGGUUGAGGUCGGGGGUCACCUGAGACCAAGAGGUUGGAGGCUGCAGUGAGCCAUGAUAGCGCCUCUGCACGCCAGCCUGGGCAACAGAGUAAGAACUUGUCUCAAAAUAAAUUAAUAAAUAAAUAAGAAGUGGGGCUGGAUGCAGUGGCUCACACCUGUAAUCCUAGCACUUUGGGAGGCUGAGGCGGGAGGAUCACUUGAGCUCAGGAGUUUGACACUAGCCUGAGCAACACAGUGAGACCUCGUCUCUCUUUUCAAUCAAUCAAUCAAUCAAUCAAUGAAAAAAGAGAAAAAAGAACUGGGCUGAGGAGCACUUACAAACAAUUUGAGGAACUUCAGAAUGCGCUUGUGGGUGAGGAUGUACAAAGUAUUGCCUGAUUCUGGGUCAAUAACUGGCAGCCUGUGGAUCUUGUUCCGAAUUAAUGAAGAGACAGCAUCAAACAAGCUGUGAGAGGGUGGGAGAUAAUAAGUUCCACAGUGCUGGGGCUGGGGGUGAUUAAACAGGUCCAUACAGUGUAUUGCUCAACAGGGAAAACUGAUGGUUAGGGAAGGGGGGCAGUGUACAGGCCAGACUUAAAGAGAAAGAGAGAGAGAGAGAGAGUGAGAAUGAGAGAGAGAGAGAGACUGUGUGUGUGUGUGUGUGUGUGUGUGUGUGUGUGUGUGUGUGUGUGUGUCUUUUCUCUCUUCUUCCCCUUUCCCUGGGUGUCUAGGGCAUUAGCUAGGCUGAUGACAAAAUCUCUUCCGCUUUUUGGACAGAUGGGUAACUGGAACUCACCUGGCAUUAGGAGAAAUGCAGACAAGCGGUUUAAAGGAGUCCUGGAGAUACACCUCUGAAGGGAAAAGGGAUGGGUCACAAAAUACCACCAUGGAAAAGUGUUUCCCAGAAACCCGCCAUCCCUUUAUCCUUUUAUAACCCCAAUUCUCUACAUACCUCUCCAAGUUUCUAUCUUGUGUUCUUCUAGCUCAUAGAUCUGUACCUGAAAGCAGAAGCAACAGAAUUUGAGACCUGAUCUCUCUGCUUCCUUAAGCCCUCGUGGCUUGCUUGGAGAAAAAGAAAUGAGAAUGAGGGAUUUAGGGCAGGGAAAGUGAUUUUGGUCAUUGGGUUAAGGUUCCUUACCAAGGCUGAUUUAUAGUAGCGGUGCAGGAUAUUGAUGAAAUCAGUGAUGGUCAGCAUGCCUAGAGGACAAGACAGAGCCCUCAGCACUGCCUGAAGCUUGUCUCCCUGCCCAGCACAAGAUGCCAAUAAUAUUGUGUUCCAGAAACUUUUGCUUACCCACAAAACUUUGCUUCUUACUAUCCCAUAAAGGGGCAGCUCGUACACCGUUAGUCACCAAAGCAAAAAAAGCUUUCUUCACCUGUAGCCAAGACAGUAAUAAUCAUAAAGGCAAAUCCACAGGGGCAGGACUGUAAAAAAAGAACAGUGUUUGGGCAUGUUGGGUAAAACAUGAGACUAACUUCACAGAAGGAUAAGGAUAUUACCCUUAGGAUGAGAUAGGAUGAGAGGUAUUAAACCACAGGCUCCAAAGGGGGAAGGGAAAAGAGGAUUUCACCCACCUGCAGGGACGUAUCAAAUACAACCAAUUUGGAGCUUGUGGGAAUCAGGUCAUAGCAGCGAUGAGACUUCAUGAAGGAAGUAUACACGCUAUUGUUGGAUUCUGGGGUCUCUGCAUAGGGUGGGAUAGUUAGUAGCUUCCUUCCACAUAAAAACUCCCAAUCAAAAGAGACAGAAAACAAAAUAGUGUUCUAGUAUCUCAAAUAUUUAGAGCAUUAUUUUUUAAUAAGACCCCUUAUUUUAUCUGUCUUGUUCCUAUUGUUUCCACAAAACCUGGAUAAACCUCUUAGAAACCAUUUCAUCCAACCCCUGUCUCCAGGUUAAGACUUUAUCUAUUGGUCCCUAUAGGUAAAAGAAGUUGACUAAAACAUAAAGCCUAUAGUAUCUCUCUUUAACAUGUUAUAGUCUAAAAAUGUUUCUCAUCUUUAAUCCAAGCUUUCCCUUUCAUAUACUUAGCACAUUUUCACUUUCCUCUUUUUUCAAUGAAGUAAGCUUCUUAAAAUUCUUCCAAGACUGUGCUGGGGAUGGUGGCAAGCACCUGUAAUCCCAGCUACUCAGGAAGUUGAGGCAGAGGAUCACUUGAACCCAGGAGCUCGAGGCCAGCCUGGGCAACACAGCGAACCCCUGUCUCAAUUAAAAAAAAAAUUAUUCUAAGACCUGCAAAUGGGAAAGUCAUGGUCCAAGUUGGGCCAUUUCUCAUUAACAAUAAGUUGGAGCCCAGUGCUCAAUCAACCUGGCUCAAAACACCCUGAUAGUCCAUUCUGGGAUCACCCUGUAAAUCAGAAAUCAUCCCACCUACUCUAGACAAAUGGGAGAUCCUGGCUAGUUUACCUUUUUCUAUUCCUGUGAUUUUAAUUGCUUGCUCUAAACUAGGGAAGUAAUCUCCCAAAAUAAUAGCUUGAAUGUGCUACAUACUAUACUACGUGCACUUAAAAAUAUUACAUUGAGGCUGGGCGUGGUGGCUCAUGCCUGUAAUCCCAGAACUUUGGGAGGCCAAGGUGGGAGGAUCACCUGAGGUCGGGAGUUCAAGACCAGCCUGACCAACAUGGAUAAACCCUGUCUCUAUUAAAAAUACAAAAUUAGCCGGGCAUGGUGGCGCAUGCCUGUAAUCCCAGCUACUCGGGAGGCUGAGGCAGGAGAAUUGCUUGAACCCGGGAGGCAGAGGUUGCGAUGAGCCGAGAUCGCAACAUUGCACUCCAGCCUGGGCAACAAGAGUGAAACUCCGUGUCAAAAAAAUAAAUAAAUAAAUAAAUAAAUUACAUUGGCUGGGCGUGGUGGCUCACACCUGUAACCCAGGACUUUGGGAGGCCAAGGUGGGUGGAUCACCUGAGGUCAGAAGUUUGAGACCAGCCUGGCCAACAUGGCGAAACCCCGUCUCUACUAAAAAAAUAUAAAAAUUAGCCAGGCGUGGUGGCACGUGCCUGUAGUCCCAGCUACUCAGGGGGCUGAGGCAGGAGAAUUGCUUGAACCCAGGAGGUGGAGGUUGCAGUGAGACGA
Molecule: long non-coding RNA, 8874 nt
Filed under: Homo sapiens (human)
Lineage: Eukaryota; Metazoa; Chordata; Mammalia; Primates; Hominidae
Description: HSALNT0368007
Source: RNAcentral